This 393-nucleotide ribosomal RNA is filed under the name Elaphropeza neesoonensis. RNAcentral describes it as "partial 12S ribosomal RNA". The record is from RNAcentral. Lineage: Eukaryota; Metazoa; Arthropoda; Insecta; Diptera; Hybotidae.
UAAACUAGGAUUAGAUACCCUAUUAUUUAAUAACGUAAAAAAUUUACUAUAGUAGUAGUAGUUAUGGUCUUAAAAUUAAAAAAAUUUGGCGGUAUUUUAGUCUUUUCAGAGGAAUUUGUUCUGUAAUCGAUAAUCCACGAUGGACCUAACUUAAUCUUGUAUUUCAGUUUGUAUAUCGCUGUUAUAGAAUAUUUUAUAAGAAAAAUAAUUUUCAAUAAAUUUUAUAAAAUUUUAUAUCAAGUCAAGGUGCAGUUUAUGAUUAAGGAUGAAAUGAAUUACAAUAAAUAAAUUUAAACGGAGUAAUAAUUGCAAUAUUAUUAUGAAGGUGGAUUUGAAAGUAAAUUAUUAAAGAUAAAAUAAUUGAUUAUAGCUCUAAAAUAUGUACACAUCGCC